AUGGAUGGUACAAUACCCGAGGUCGUUCACUACUACACGUAUGAAAUAUUCAGUGUUGUGCAUGACCAAAUCAUUACCGAGUUUAAUAAACGCUUUGCUGAAAGAUCUAAUCAAUUUUUGAGAUGCAUUGCUUUUCUUGAUCCAAGGAACUCAUUUGCUAAUUUUGAUGAAGACGAGCAUGUUGAACUUGCCGAGAUGUAUGCUGGUGACUUCUCCAUAAACGAGAUUUCUUGUGUCCAUAAGAACCAACUUGAAACAUUCAUGUGCUAA
RNAcentral lists this ribosomal RNA (270 nucleotides) under Triticum aestivum (bread wheat). Its description in RNAcentral is "partial small subunit ribosomal RNA". Lineage: Eukaryota; Viridiplantae; Streptophyta; Magnoliopsida; Poales; Poaceae. The record is from RNAcentral.